GUGCCAGCAGCCGCGGUAAUACCGGCAGCCCGAGUGAUGGCCGAUCUUAUUGGGCCUAAAGCGUUCGUAGCCGGCCGGGCAAGUUCGUCGGGAAAUCUACCAGCUUAACUGGUAGGCGUCCGGCGAAAACUGCUCGGCUUGGGACAGGGAGACUCGAAGAGUACGUCCGGGGUAGGAGUGAAAUCCCAUAAUCCCGCACGGACCACCGAUGGCGAAAGCACUUCGAGAAAACGGAUCCGACAGUGAGGGACGAAAGCUAAGAUCGCGAACCGGAUUAGAAACCCUGGUAGUCC
RNAcentral lists this ribosomal RNA (293 nucleotides) under uncultured bacterium. RNAcentral's name for it is "partial 16S ribosomal RNA". It matches the Rfam family "Archaeal small subunit ribosomal RNA", at positions 455 to 747 of the family's 1478-position model. The record is from RNAcentral.